AUUGCAAUUCGUCUUCAUCACAUAACAUAACGGAUAUAACGUGUCACCAUUCUAUAUAAAACUGAGAAGUAUCUGCGAUUGGAAUUUAUUCGUAAAAAUGGUAAGCAUGUCUUGUGUACUUUGAAACAUCUAACACACAUUGGCUUUACACAAACAGUGAUAGAUGUAAUUAACAUAUUGAGAAUUUAAUAGCUUAUUACUAGAUAAUAUUGCAAUUCAUUUAACGGACAUAAUGUCAAAGCGUUUGAUUUGAUAAUUGUUUAUUAUUAAAUGUAAAUCUUUAAAAAAAAUCAAUAACUUUAAAAGGUAAGACAUAUCAUUAAUGACGCUUUAUUCUCUUCGAAAGAACAUGUUUAAGUUAAAUAGUAAUACCAGUAUGCUUUGAAAGAAAGAAAAAAACUUUUACAAGAUAUAUAGGUCUUUGAACAAAUCAAACGCCUCCUGAUAUACUACGUUUAAUUAUGUCUAAGUUUAAUAAUGUCUAACAAUGACAUUUAUAAAUUCAUUUUUGUGUGAUGACAUAUCACCGGAUAUUUCAACAACGGAUUUAAACAAGAGUAACAUAGGGGUGUCACUAAUGGAGCAGGAACUGUUUUAUAACUUUAAACACCUGAGUUAUUAGCUGGGUUUUUUUUGUGAGUUGAUUCUGGUCAUUUUUAUUUACCAACGUAGCAGUUUGAAGAGUUUUGGAGCGGAUUGGUUUUAUUUUAUAAUCAAAGAUUUGCUUUUCAAUAUCCAUUUGAUAUCUUUUGCCCGUUUUUGAUAAAUAAAUUAUUAAAUCAUUAAUUCAUUAUACGACCUACAUAUGUAUAAUGUUCGCUAGUAUGAAUACUGAUUAUUUGUAAUGAAAAUGAAAAUAAAAGGUGUGGUCUGAUUGCCUAUGAAAUAUCUUUUCACCAGAGACCAAAACCCGUUCGCAACAUAAGAUUACUGUAAGACCUUCAUAUGCAAAACAUCGUAGUUUGUGAAUUUUAUUCAGCACUCUUGUAUAUACAAAUUUUUAUUACUUAGUAAAGUGCACGUAUGAUACUCAACAGUCUUAAAAAUAAAUAGAGACACGGUGUGGUAUAAGUGCAAAUAAGACAACUCUCCAUCUACUUCACAAUGUGUAAAAAGUUAAACAAUUAUAGGUCAAAGUAAGUUUAUACUAAAACUACUUUCAAAUAGUGUCCUCGGAAAUUUCUCUUACGAAGCAGUUUUAUGUACAAAAAUAAAAAAUAGAGAACAUCUAUUAAAGAACAAAACCCAUAUGAUUCACUUUUGUUAAUCCUGAUGAUUGCGUGAUCAAGAUUUUAUAUCGUGUUUUUAAAUUUGAAAAAAGAAAUAAAAUCUGUACACUACAAUCAAGAAACUUUCAAAUGAUCUUCAAAACGAUGUUUUUCUUGUGACGUCAUUUUUUUCGUGACGCCACCACAGGAAAUUACUCGGAACGCAAAAAAAAAAGACGUCAUAAUCGAAUUUUGCUCAAAGAACAGCUGAGAUCAAACGAAACACAUGUUGAUUAAAAAAAUAAUCAGCAGGUCAGGAAAAGGAUAAAUCGGGAAGGAAUUAAAGAAAUUGUCAUAUCAAUAUAUCAAACAACAAAUUGAUUCUGCAAGCAUACUUUUUUGAAGAUUUAUUAGAUGCUUAGUGUGAUAUUUAAACGCCAUUUUCAUCACUAGUGGUUAGUUUAUGGCGUCCAUUUGAUAUUGGUGGACAGAAUUGAAUUGCCCGGUAACAUCUACCAAAAUUUUCAAGAAAAAUAAUUCAAUAAUAAAUAAAACCAAACGCACAUUUCACGUAGAACUGCUUAGACCAAACGGUCAUCUCAAAAUAAAAAUAAAUAAAAAAGACUUCGGCAUUUAUAAAAGGAAUUCUAACGCACCAAUAAUAAUAACUGAUGAUAGAUAAUUAUAAUUGAUAUACUUUAUACCAAGAGUCUGACAUUUAUUUGUUAUAAAUGUACCAGUUUGUAAUUUAUGAUAUUCAUGUAUUAAAUAGCGUUUUAACCGAGAACUAAGAUGUGUACAUGUGAAAAAGGAAACUAUUCGUGUAAUCAGUUUCCGUCAUUCAAUUUAGAAAUAUAAUGCACGGAAGAACAUUUUUAAUUCAUACGGAAAGAGAUAAUUAGUUUUGAAAAAAAUAGACAUAAACGUUGAAGUAGAAAAUGGCUUUAUAUAAUAAGUUAUCUACUUGUAAAAAUAUGAAAUUUAACAGUAAAUGUUUCAACAACAAUCUGGGGUGAUAGUAGAAGUGUGAUUUACAGGUCCUAUUAGGUUAAAAGUAACAAAAAAUUCAAAAAAGUUUUAGAAUUAAUCUUCAACCUUAUUUUUAUCAGCUGAAAAUAUACUAUUCACUUGAAUGUUAAUGAUCGUAGUAUUUAAAAGUUAAAGAGAUAAUACAUGCAUAGAAUAAAAUGCAAGGUUUGAAUAUUUGGUAAUUUUGUGUUAACGUCAUCAUCGUCAUAAUCAUCGGAUCAUGAUAUCCGCCAUUUGCAAAAAGAUAUACAAAUUACAUCUUAAAAUUAAACACUUAGUCGUCCGCAGUUAUAUACAGCAAUGACCAAACUUAUUCCGGCCUUACACAACAGUGUAUAGAUCCGAUGUACGCCGGGCGUGGUAAAAAAUCAUGUACGCUGCCAAUGCGCUAGUAACAUUGGAUGCAUUCAACCUGUCAAUUAUAUCUGUAUAAGCGUUUAUCGGGCGUUCAAGUAAUGUAUGUUGGCAUUGCGUUUGUCUAACGUAGAUGGAAUGCACGCUACGAGGGAAUAAAGGCUCUAGAACGUAUUUGAAACGCGUCCCGGUCGUAUCUAGGACGAUAAUCUAUGCUUUCGGUGUAUCUGGGACGUUUUAUUAUGAAGUGUUUGAUACAAACACACCCACAUACAUUUUAGUAAAAGUCGAACGAUCUUGAAGCGUAUACAACGUGCCUUAAACGGUUCUCAAACUUAUCUGUAACGUUUUUAAACGCGCUUGUAGCAUAUGUAUUACGUGCGUGUAGCGUACAGGUACACGCUAGACAAACGCUUGAGCUAAUUGAAAAUUUGUAUGCCGCAUAAACAUUUCCUGGAGUUAUAGCUUUCACCAAGCGUAUACCUUUGCAUGUCGACGGACUUCAAACUUAUGCAACGCACGUUUAACGAUUGCUUUGCGUUCACUUCACCUGGCGUACAACUAACGUAUACGGUCAAUUGUCUCUGUACAUCUGGGGCACAACGGUCUAUACGCCAAUUUGUGACACCGGUAUUUACAAAUGAUAUAGUUAAAAGAUAAAAAUAAAGUACGCUCCGAUAGGUUAGUGGAAAUUCAGUUUAGGUCAUUAUUCCAAAGGAAGAAAAUUAUUACUGUUUUGAAAAAGUCAAAAUUUAGUAAACAGUUAAGUUAUAACUAUAGCAUAUUAGUUCUUACUGAUGUUAACACAGAAGAGAUGACAUCUUGGCUGGUAAUACCCUCGGGGUGGAAACCUUCACCAAAAUACAUCUUUUGAUUUGAAAUGGUGACUGUGUUUUUUUCUAUCUAAUUCAAUUAUUUAUUUGUUAAUACAAUAUGUUUUCAUGAUGCCACGAACACAUCUGGAAAGAAAAGCUAUAGUGUAGUUGACAAGAAACACAAAAAUGUACAGUUCAUAUAGAUUACAGAUAUAUGAACCUAAACAUUUAAAUCAUGCAAACUAUCCUCAUAUAGGUAUGUAUAUAUCAAAAUGUGGACUUGACAUUAAGAAAAGACCUAAAUUGAUUGAUAUUUCGAAUGAAUUGUAAAGUUUACUACGAUUACUAAUUAAUUUUUGUUUUGGCUAAUAACAAAUCCGAAACAACACCUUAUGACAAUAAUGUAUUCGACUGGUCAAUCGAUUUUUGUUUUGUCAUCGGCAACAUAGCGAGUGUUUCUGAUGUUGGAACCUUUUCGGAGCAUCUGAGGUUCCGCCUUUUCGAUAGAUUCAUUUGUUUCUUUUAUCUGUAUAGUGUAUUCUUGAUUUGUUUGUUUUGCUAUGUAUUGAAAAUUUCGUCAAUUUAUUAAUGCUUCUUUUGAAUCAUUCCCUUUAAAUACAGAAUAAGGCUUACAACAAUUAUCAUGAAUAAAAACUGCACACGCACCCCUAUACACAGAUUUUUAUCAUGAAAACUUCCUUUUAAAAAUCAAAUGACAGAAUUUACGUGCUUACAACACGUGUUUCUGGUAUACUGUAAAACAAAAUAUUUUCGAGGAUACUUUAUUUCGCAUUUUACCCAGUUCAAUCCACUUCGCGGCUGUUUAAUUUCACGACUUUCUAAAAUAUUUGAUGUACAUGUAAUCUAUUAAGGAAAUAUCCAAGUUUUAUAUAUUCGCGACAUUUUAAUUUCACGUUAUUUUUCUACUCGCGGAAGUCGCGAUAAUAAACCGCUCGCAAAAAUAAGUUGGUAAACAGUUUAAUGAUUGAUCGGCAAUGAAACAUAUAUCGCUAAAUACAAAAUGAAGCAGUGGAGAAAAGAUAUAGGGUAUCAUAUGAUCCCAACAUGGUAAACUACUCAUACCAAAAAUUGCAACGAUUAUAAAGAAAACAACUGACAUGGCAAAAUGUCUAACAAUUCAAAAGUGAAAACCUAGGUAAAACGAAAAAGAAAAAAAAACAACCAUUACAUACAAGAAAACCGAUACCGAAACUCAUAACACUUAUCAGCAAACCAGUUUCUUGAAAUCUUUUUCUCCAAAUCAAUUCAUAACGUUUUUUGAGAGCAUCACAUCAAGAUAAGCAUUUAGUUGAUAAAUGAAAAUACCGUCAAAUGUCAAACAAGACCUAGACAUACAUGAUAAACAUAUCAUUUGAUUCACAAAAAUCCCGCAGAACUGGUAACUAGAUGGAUAGAAAACCUAUUUAACUGAUGGUCUGUCAGUAGUAAUAUCAAUACAGUUUUUAUAACAAAAACUGACUGACUGUUUUUUGUGCGCAUAACAUUUUUUUUAUAAAUAUUCAUCCUGUGUGCACGUGAUAAACACGUGAAAGUCGCACAUAUAGAACACCACACAAUAUCGCUGAUCCCAACUACCAUUCAUAUGGCACCCAUUCCUCUUUAAGCAACGAGGAAUGAAAAUUGAUACACAACAUUGAAGUAGCUACAAAAGGAUAAAACAAUGUGUUGCAAAUGAUAUAGUUGUGAUAGACAAACUAUAAAAAUAUGGAAGCGACAUGCAAAUACAGACGUCAAUCAAGGAGAUGAAAGUAUAAAUCCGAUAGGCACGUGUUGUUGACAUCAAAUUCAAUAGAAGCAUUGAUAAGUAUACAUAUUUAAGAUUUUAAAAAAGAAUAAAAGAAUAUAAAUCAAACAUGUUCUAUUUUUUUCUAAUUUCAUAGGAUUAACAAAACUUGGUCCAUCAGAACGAAAUUACUGCUCAUCUAUUGAAACUUGCAUUACUUGAAGCAUUUUAAAACAAGUAUUUCAUUUUUCUUAACUGAGCAGUAAAAAUGACGUCUAUGAAAGGACCGACACAAAGACAAGACGAUUAUUACUGAAUCAGAUGCAUUAUUUUGUUUUCUAAUAUAUUAUUGAGUAUAUGUUUAAGGUAAGUAUAAAGGAAUGUUAUAUUGUUGCUCUAAGGAAUAUACCAAAUAUAUUAGCUUGUGACAUACAUUUAAAAACAUAUAUGUACGAGGCUGUAUCUUCCGAUUGUUAAACAUGAAGCAAACACAAUUCAUCAAAAAGUUUAAAAACAAAAUACUCG
This 5675-nucleotide long non-coding RNA is filed under the name Mytilus galloprovincialis (Mediterranean mussel). Lineage: Eukaryota; Metazoa; Mollusca; Bivalvia; Mytilida; Mytilidae. The record is from RNAcentral.